This 151-nucleotide non-coding RNA is filed under the name Metabacillus indicus. RNAcentral's name for it is "Bacillus cibi SAM-I sequence". It matches the Rfam family "SAM riboswitch aptamer (S box leader)". From Rfam's summary of the family: The SAM riboswitch is found upstream of a number of genes which code for proteins involved in methionine or cysteine biosynthesis in Gram-positive bacteria. The SAM riboswitch acts at the level of transcription termination control. The predicted structure consists of a complex stem-loop region followed by a single stem loop terminator region. The record is from Rfam by way of RNAcentral. Lineage: Bacteria; Bacillati; Bacillota; Bacilli; Caryophanales; Bacillaceae.
CUCUUAUCCCGAGCUGGUGGAGGGACAGGCCCUGUGAAACCCAGCAACCUGCUUUACCGGAAAAAUUCAUUUCAGAUCAGAAUGCCCUGAGUGAAUUUGAAAAGCAAAGGUGCUAACCUGAUGCAAGGCGAAAGCCCUUGAUCGAUAAGAG